UUUAAUUUAAGUUGUAAGAGAGAGAGAGAGAAAGAGAGAGAGUGGUAUCAUUACUUAUAAUAAUAAUAAUCGUAAAUACUAGUGAAUUUCACAUAACCUGUAAAAAUGUACACAAAAACGAUAAAAAAUCUGUGAGUAUGUGAGGUGUAUCGUUAUUGAUAUUUAUAAACAAUUUUGGUGAAGCUGUAAUAAUAAGUUGAGUGAAAAAAUAAAACAGGUGAAAACGUAGCAAAAGGUAAAGUACCGACCCACAAAAAAUGUUGGGCAAAAGACCGUGAUACAUCGGCGAGGUAAAAAUGGUUAUAUUUUUUCUACAUUCCCUAGAAAUCCUGAAUGGUUUAAAGAAUAGUUAAAAAUUGUAAGAGUAUAGGAUUAUGUUAGUCUAUCGAUAUUUAAGCUUUCAACCUUAAGAUUUAUUUGUAGUUGUCAUUUUAAAUCAGAGGACUACAAAUUAAUAAAAAAUGGAAAAAGUUUUAAUGAAAACGCAAUUCCCUCUAUUUUUAGAGAAAACACAAGGCCUCUAAUAGACUUAGAUCUCGAAGAGAUUUUCAUCUAAGACAUGCGUAAUUUCUACAAGCUCUCGCUAAAUCGCUGUCGAUAAAAAAGAAAUAAGAUACAAUGAUAUCAUCAUUGGAAAUCGUUCAUUUAAAUAUUGUAUAGGUGGUCAGUAAAAAUGCAGCUGUGCUUCAUCAUGCAUUAACUAUAUAGGUUGUUAGACAUCCAGUUUAACGUCCUAUUUCUGCUUUUUGUAAUAAUUAUUGCGAUAGAAACACGAUGUAACUCCGAAACAAGGUCAAAUAAGACAUAUUUACAGGAAUUUGUAUUUCUGUUUGAAAGCUAUUCGUAUAAUAUUUUCCACUUAUUCUGUUACUUAUUCUGUAUUGAUGGAGAAAUAAAUAGUCAAAUAUGGACAGAGUGAGUGUGAGAGAAAAAGAAAUAACUUUACGGUCUCACAUAAGAUUCAAUAUUAUAAAAUUAAAAUCUUUAGAUAAAAACUGAAUUGUACUAUUGGUUUUCUUUACAAAUAAAUAAAUAUAUAAUUGCAA
This 1046-nucleotide long non-coding RNA is filed under the name Polistes fuscatus (common paper wasp). Its description in RNAcentral is "uncharacterized LOC122520428, transcript variant X2". The record is from RNAcentral. Lineage: Eukaryota; Metazoa; Arthropoda; Insecta; Hymenoptera; Vespidae.